GGAAGUAAAAGUCGUAAUAAGGUUUCCGUAGGUGAACCUGCGGAAGGAUCAUUAUUGUAUAACCGAGGUGCGAGGGCUGUCGCUGACCCGAAAGGUCGUGCACGCCCGAGUGCCCUCACACACAUCCAUCUCACCCCUAUGUGCACCACCGCGUGGGUCCCCCUUUGGCUUGUUCGGAGGGGGGCUUACGUUUUCACACAAACUUUGUAUGCAGUGUAGAAUGUAUUUUUUGUUUUUGCGAUCACGCAAUCAAUACAACUUUCAACAUCGGAUCUCUUGGCUCUC
Molecule: unclassified non-coding RNA, 285 nt
Filed under: plant metagenome
Description: partial contains small subunit ribosomal RNA and internal transcribed spacer 1
Rfam family: Eukaryotic small subunit ribosomal RNA (bases 1-54)
Source: RNAcentral